This 254-nucleotide ribosomal RNA is filed under the name uncultured bacterium. Its description in RNAcentral is "partial 16S ribosomal RNA". It matches the Rfam family "Bacterial small subunit ribosomal RNA", at positions 524 to 776 of the family's 1533-position model. The record is from RNAcentral.
UACGUAGGGGGCGAGCGUUGUCCGGAUUUAUUGGGCGUAAAAGGCUUGUAGGUGGCCACGUCAAGUCGGAUGUGAAAUCUCCCGGCUCAACUGGGAGGGGUCAUUCGAUACUGGCGGGCUCGAGGCCGGUAGGGGGAAGCGGAAUUCCCGGUGUAGUGGUGGAAUGCGUAGAUAUCGGGAGGAACACCAGUGGCGAAGGCGGCUUCCUGGACCGGUUCUGACACUGAGGAGCGAAAGCUAGGGGAGCAAACGGG